This 429-nucleotide ribosomal RNA is filed under the name Chloroflexota bacterium. Its description in RNAcentral is "Chloroflexi bacterium partial 16S ribosomal RNA". It matches the Rfam family "Bacterial small subunit ribosomal RNA", at positions 355 to 776 of the family's 1533-position model. The record is from RNAcentral. Lineage: Bacteria; Bacillati; Chloroflexota.
UGGGGAAUAUUGCACAAUGGGCGCAAGCCUGAUGCAGCCAUGCCGCGUGUAUGAAGAAGGCCUUCGGGUUGUAAAGUACUUUCAGUCGGGAGGAAGGUGGUAAGGUUAAUAACCUUAUCAAUUGACGUUACCGACAGAAGAAGCACCGGCUAACUCCGUGCCAGCAGCCGCGGUAAUACGGAGGGUGCAAGCGUUAAUCGGAAUUACUGGGCGUAAAGCGCACGCAGGCGGUUGAUUGAGUCAGAUGUGAAAUCCCCGGGCUUAACCCGGGAAUUGCAUCUGAUACUGGUCAGCUAGAGUCUUGUAGAGGGGGGUAGAAUUCCAUGUGUGGCGGGGAAAUGCGUAGAGAUGUGGAGGAAUACCGGUGGCGAAGGCGGCCCCCUGGACAAAGACUGACGCUCAGGUGCGAAAGCGUGGGGAGCAAACAGG